This 399-nucleotide long non-coding RNA is filed under the name Spirodela polyrhiza (greater duckweed). RNAcentral's name for it is "long non-coding RNA (SPOL_LNC000880)". Lineage: Eukaryota; Viridiplantae; Streptophyta; Magnoliopsida; Alismatales; Araceae. The record is from RNAcentral.
GAGGUUGCGACGCCGGGAGGAAGAAGAAGAAGAGGAAGAGAGAGAGAGCGAGGAAGCCGUACUGUCCGGGCACCUCCCGUGAUGGAUAGGGCAGGCGCGCCUCCCGACAGGCGAUGGAGGCUCUUCCAAUCGGGUGCUCGCUUUCCCCCCCGGGAAAAAAGUGGGACGCCUAGAAAACGGAUGCCCGAUUGGACGAGGAGGAAGCGGCAGAGACCGCUGCGAGGGCCUGCGAUUUCAAGGGCGAGGAGGGCGGAGGAGAGACCAGGACGAUGGAAGGAGAGAGAGCAAGGCAGGCAGGCAGGCAGGCUGUGGGAGUCAGAGCCCCAAAGGAGGGUGACGAGACGAGGCCAGGGGGGGAGCGAAGGGGAAGGAAGGGGGGGAGGCGCCUCAUCAACANNN